UCGGGAAUAUUGCGCAAUGGAGGAAACUCUGACGCAGUGACGCCGCGUGCAGGAAGAAGGUUUUCGGAUUGUAAACUGCUUUAGACAGGGAAGAAAAAGGACAGUACCUGUAGAAUAAGCUCCGGCUAACUACGUGCCAGCAGCCGCGGUAAUACGUAGGGAGCAAGCGUUAUCCGGAUUUAUUGGGUGUAAAGGGUGCGUAGACGGGAAAUUAAGUUAGUUGUGAAAUCCCUCGGCUUGAACUGAGGAACGAUGCAACUAAAACUGGUUUUCUUGAGUGCUGGAGAGGAAAGUGGAAUUCCUAGUGUAGCGGUGAAAUGCGUAGAUAUUAGGAGGAACACCAGUGGCGAAGGCGACUUCUGGACAGUAACUGACGUUGAGGCACGAAAGUGUGGGGAGCAAACAGGAUUAGAUACC
RNAcentral lists this ribosomal RNA (417 nucleotides) under uncultured bacterium. RNAcentral describes it as "bacterial SSU rRNA". It matches the Rfam family "Bacterial small subunit ribosomal RNA", at positions 355 to 786 of the family's 1533-position model. The record is from RNAcentral.